RNAcentral lists this ribosomal RNA (666 nucleotides) under Triticum aestivum (bread wheat). RNAcentral describes it as "partial small subunit ribosomal RNA". Lineage: Eukaryota; Viridiplantae; Streptophyta; Magnoliopsida; Poales; Poaceae. The record is from RNAcentral.
AUGCGAGGGACGAAAAUGACAUCGAACCCUAGCCCCAAUCCACGUCCCCACGCCCCUCGCUCCUUCCUCCCUCACCCGCCGCCGCUCCCUCCCACCUCCUCCUCCUCCUUCUUCUGCGCCCUAGGAGCCCCGCCGCCGCCCUGCUGCUACUCCUCCACCGGCCCACCUCUUCCUCCUCCCCGCCUUCCAUCGCUCGCGUGCAGGCCAUCGUGGCCACGCGCUUUGCGGGUGAACCCGACCGGCCCGUCACUGUUGGCUCGAGCUGCUGGGAAGAGGGAGGAGUCUGGAGACAGCGUGCAGGCACAGGCCGUGCCUGGUGAGGCGGCGCCGCCGGCCAUGGGACACUGGACCUCGGGGAGCCCCAUCCUAGGCCCGCGCCCAAAUUCUUGGGCAGGGGAGGAUAGAUCGACGAUGGCGGAUCACAUAAGGGAAUGGGAGAUCGAGGAGAAGGGAGACGAGGGUGGGUGGUGGCUUGCAGCAUGGGGCGGGCACGUCCAACGAGGGUGGUGUUCUGUGGAUCUGCUGCCCCCUCUCCUUUGGCGACCUCCUCCUCCUCAUCUGCUGCCGAUGGCUGUGAGUUCACGGCUGCUCCGGAGCUCCAACGAGCCAAGUGGAAGGAUCGGUUUUUAUGGCAUGGACUACAAAGGAGAGAAGUGGACCGUGUGA